RNAcentral lists this transfer RNA (58 nucleotides) under Clostridium sp. Its description in RNAcentral is "tRNA-Lys". It matches the Rfam family "tRNA", at positions 9 to 63 of the family's 71-position model. Rfam says of the family: Transfer RNA (tRNA) molecules are approximately 80 nucleotides in length. Lineage: Bacteria; Bacillati; Bacillota; Clostridia; Eubacteriales; Clostridiaceae. The record is from RNAcentral. RNAcentral also lists the same sequence under 1 other name.
AGCUCAGUUGGUAGAGCACCUGACUCUUAAUCAGGGUGUCCAGGGUUCGAGCCCCUGA